GCGGACAGAUGGGAGCUUGCUCCCUGAUGUUAGCGGCGGACGGGUGAGUAACACGUGGGUAACCUGCCUGUAAGACUGGGAUAACUCCGGGAAACCGGGGCUAAUACCGGAUGGUUGUCUGAACCGCAUGGUUCAGACAUAAAAGGUGGCUUCGGCUACCACUUACAGAUGGACCCGCGGCGCAUUAGCUAGUUGGUGAGGUAACGGCUCACCAAGGCGACGAUGCGUAGCCGACCUGAGAGGGUGAUCGGCCACACUGGGACUGAGACACGGCCCAGACUCCUACGGGAGGCAGCAGUAGGGAAUCUUCCGCAAUGGACGAAAGUCUGACGGAGCAACGCCGCGUGAGUGAUGAAGGUUUUCGGAUCGUAAAGCUCUGUUGUUAGGGAAGAACAAGUGCCGUUCAAAUAGGGCGGCACCUUGACGGUACCUAACCAGAAAGCCACGGCUAACUACGUGC
This 460-nucleotide ribosomal RNA is filed under the name Bacillus sp. (in: firmicutes). Its description in RNAcentral is "bacterial SSU rRNA". It matches the Rfam family "Bacterial small subunit ribosomal RNA", at positions 66 to 508 of the family's 1533-position model. Lineage: Bacteria; Bacillati; Bacillota; Bacilli; Caryophanales; Bacillaceae. The record is from RNAcentral.